RNAcentral lists this ribosomal RNA (449 nucleotides) under uncultured bacterium. Its description in RNAcentral is "bacterial SSU rRNA". It matches the Rfam family "Bacterial small subunit ribosomal RNA", at positions 355 to 796 of the family's 1533-position model. The record is from RNAcentral.
UGGGGAAUAUUGGACAAUGGGCGAAAGCCUGAUCCAGCGACGCCGCGUGGGUGAAGAAGGCCUGCGGGUUGUAAAGCCCUUUCGGUUGGGAAGAAAAGUAUCGACCUAACACGUCGGUACCUUGACGUAACCAACAAAAGAAGCACCGGCUAACUCUGUGCCAGCAGCCGCGGUAAUACAGAGGGUGCGAGCGUUAAUCGGAAUUACUGGGCGUAAAGCGCGCGUAGGCGGUCGAACAAGUCGAGUGUGAAAUCCCCGGGCUUAACCUGGGAGCUGCAUUCGAAACUGUUUGGCUAGAGUAUGGGAGAGGGAAGUGGAAUUUCAGGUGUAGCGGUGAAAUGCGUAGAUAUCUGAAGGAACAUCAGUGGCGAAAGCGACUUCCUGGACCAAUACUGACGCUCAUGUGCGAAAGCGUGGGGAGCAAACAGGAUUAGAUACCCCCGUAGUCC